This 389-nucleotide ribosomal RNA is filed under the name Tripos sp. RNAcentral's name for it is "partial small subunit ribosomal RNA". It matches the Rfam family "Eukaryotic small subunit ribosomal RNA", at positions 582 to 975 of the family's 1831-position model. Lineage: Eukaryota; Dinophyceae; Gonyaulacales; Ceratiaceae. The record is from RNAcentral.
AUUCCAGCUCCAAUAGCGUAUAUUAAAGUUGUUGCGGUUAAAAAGCUCGUAGUUGGAUUUCUGCUGAAACAAACCGGUCCGCCCUCUGGGUGAGCAUCUGGUUUUGUUUUGGCAUAUGCUUAGACUUUGCAGCUGCACUUGACUGUGUGGUGCGAAGGCUGAGCCUUUUACUUUGAGGAAAUCAGAGUGUUUCAAGCAGGCCAUUGCCUUGAAUACACUAGCAUGGAAUAAUAUGAUACGACUGCGGUUUUAUUUUGUUGGCUUUUAGAAUUAAAGUAAUGGUUAAUAGGGAUAGUUGGGGGCAUUCAUAUUUAACUGUCAGAGGUGAAAUUCUUGGAUUUGUUAAGGAUGAACGACUGCGAAAGCAUUUGCCAAGGAUGCUUUCAUCA